GAAAUCCAUGUACGACGCUUUUAUCCAUUUUAGCUCUUCGGGUUUCUUCUUUAAGCAAUGGCGAUCACUCCUUCCCUUCACUUCACUUCCCCAUCCCUCUCUCCUCUUUUCUCCCCCAAAACCCACAGCUCCUUCAUCUAUCCUUUCUCUCAACCACAAAAUUCCAUUCGUAAACUUCACUGUUGCAGUUUUCUUAACGUUUGUUCCCGCCAGAAUUCCCCAUGUGCCGUGAAUUUGAACUCUCGGAUUGUAAAGGCCCAAGCCUCUCUUCAAGGGGAGCCCAUGGUUCCCCCUUUCAACGUUCUGAUCACUGGGUCAACCAAAGGAAUAGGGUAUGCACUGGCCAAAGAGUUUUUAAAAGCUGGCGACAAUGUCAUAAUUUGCUCAAGAUCAGCUGAACGGAUUGAAUCUGCUCAUCAGAGCCUGAGAGAAGAAUUUGGGGAGCAGCAUGUGUGGGCUACCACAUGUGAUGUUAGACAAGGACAAGAUGUGAAGAAUUUAGUUGCAUUUGCACAAAAAAACUUGAACUACAUUGAUAUAUGGAUUAAUAAUGCAGGAUCAAAUGCAUAUAGCUAUAAACCAUUGGCAGAAGCUUCAGAUGAAGAUCUUAUCGAUGUUGUAACUACAAACACCCUCGGGUUGAUGAUAUGUUGUCGAGAGGCAAUAAAGAUGAUGUUAAACCAACCGAGAGGGGGUCAUAUAUUCAACAUUGAUGGGGCUGGUUCAGAUGGAAGACCAACCCCUAGAUUUGCUGCAUAUGGAGCUACAAAACGAAGUGUGGUGCAUUUAACAAAAUCAUUGCAGGCAGAACUGCGGAUGCAAGACGUUAAAAAUGUGGUGGUGCAUAAUUUGUCGCCUGGAAUGGUCACAACCGAUCUUCUAAUGUCUGGUGCUACCACGAAGCAGGCCAAGUUUUUCAUCAAUGUUUUGGCAGAACCUGCUGAAGUGGUAUGAUUCAUCUAUGCAUCCCUGUCAUGAGUAUUAGAUUAUCCAUAUGUUGAUGGUCUUGAACAAGCCAUUGCUCAUCAAUGGUCGCAGACUACCUUGUUCCUAAUAUCAGAUCUUCUGUUGCUAAUGGAUCAAUGAAGCCCACUUACAUUCGUUUCCUCACUGGGAUAAAAGCCUACUCCCAGAUAUUCUCAAGACUUGCUUUUGGUGCCAGAAGAAACAGAUAUCUGCUUGAAGAUUAAAGUUUCAGAGGUCCAUUUUUUUUUUUUUGUAUAUCUUGUCUAAACUACAGGCCUUCUUGUUGUAACAUUGCCACGAUCAUUUUCCAUUUUUGUAUUCUUUACAAUUAAGCCAAGUCUUUCAGGUAAAUCAUGUUUGUCCGUUGAGAAUAUUUUUGAUGAUCUUUUUUUAUUAAUUUGAACAAAGUCCCAACUAAUUCCGGGGAUGCACA
Molecule: RNA transcript, 1399 nt
Organism: Juglans regia (Persian walnut)
Lineage: Eukaryota; Viridiplantae; Streptophyta; Magnoliopsida; Fagales; Juglandaceae
Gene name: chlorophyll(ide) b reductase NOL, chloroplastic-like
Exons: 13
Source: RefSeq, a predicted model, not a curated record